AAACAAUUGAUUUCUAUUUGUUAUAUUCUCUUUUUUUUUUUUAAUACUGAUUAAUCAUCAGAUUACUGCAUUACACAGAUAUUUACAACAACUGUUAUUGUAGCAGAGAUAUUAUACUGAUAUUUACAAUCAGAUAUACAUAAUUGGGACUUAUAUUAUGACAUUGAAUUCUAUGAAGUACAUGCCCAAACAAAUAACCCCUCACAGGAGAGGGAUGUCCAUACUCCACUCGCAUUUCGCAAGGGAGAAUGAUUUUUUUGGAAGUAUAAAGAACAUUUAGCCCCCACAAUGCUUUUGUGGGGGCUAGAACCGCUGCCCUCACAAGCAUUGUGAGGGCAGCAGCCCACCACUUCAGCCAAGGCC
Molecule: long non-coding RNA, 363 nt
Filed under: Citrus maxima (pomelo)
Lineage: Eukaryota; Viridiplantae; Streptophyta; Magnoliopsida; Sapindales; Rutaceae
Description: long non-coding RNA (CMAX_LNC001206)
Source: RNAcentral